CUGGUUGAUCCUGCCAGACCCGACUGCUAUCAGAGUGGGACUAAGCCAUGCGAGUCAACGUAGCAAUACGUGGCAUACGGCUCAGUAACACGUAGUCAACAUGCCCAGGGGACGUGGAUAACCUCGGGAAACUGAGGAUAAACCGCGAUAAGCCAUGAUUUCUGGAAUGAUUCAUGACUAAAACCUAUAUGGCCCCUGGAUUGGACUGCGGCCGAUCAGGCUGUUGGUGAGGUAAUGGCCCACCAAACCUAUUACCGGUACGGGCUCUGAGAGGAGGAGCCCGGAGAUGGGCACUGAGACAAGGGCCCAGGCCCCAUGGGGCGCAGCAGGCGCGAAACCUCUGCAAUAGGCGAAAGCUUGACAGGGUUACUCUGAGUGAUUUCCGCUAAGGGAAUCUUUUGGCACCUCUAAAAAUGGUGCAGAAUAAGGGGUGGGCAAGUCUGGUGUCAGCCGCCGCGGUAAUACCAGCACCCCGAGUGGUCGGGACGAUUAUUGGGCCUAAAGCAUCCGUAGCCGGUCCUGCAAGUCUUCCGUUAAAUCCAGCUGCUUAACAGAUGGGCCGCAGGAGAUACUACAGGGCUAGGAGGCGGGAGAGGCAAGCGGUACUUUAUGGGUAGGGGUAAAAUCCGCUGAUCCAUAGAAGACCACCAGUGGCGAAGGCGGCUUGCCAGAACGCGCUCGACGGUGAGGGAUGAAAGCU
Molecule: ribosomal RNA, 700 nt
Filed under: uncultured archaeon
Lineage: Archaea
Description: bacterial SSU rRNA
Rfam family: Archaeal small subunit ribosomal RNA
Source: RNAcentral